AAUAGAUACCCUGGUAGUCCACGCCGUAAACGAUGUCGACUUGGAGGUUGUGCCCUUGAGGCGUGGCUUCCGGAGCUAACGCGUUAAGUCGACCGCCUGGGGAGUACGGCCGCAAGGUUAAAACUCAAAUGAAUUGACGGGGGCCCGCACAAGCGGUGGAGCAUGUGGUUUAAUUCGAUGCAACGCGAAGAACCUUACCUACUCUUGACAUCCAGAGAACUUAGCAGAGAUGCUUUGGUGCCUUCGGGAACUCUGAGACAGGUGCUGCAUGGCUGUCGUCAGCUCGUGUUGUGAAUGUUGGGUUAAGUCCCGCAACGAGCGCAACCCUUAUCCUUUGUUGCCAGCGAUUCGGUCGGGAACUCAAAGGAGACUGCCAGUGAUAAACUGGAGGAAGGUGGGGAUGACGUCAAGUCAUCAUGGCCCUUACGAGUAGGGCUACACACGUGCUACAAUGGCGCAUACAAAGAGAAGCGACCUCGCGAGAGCAAGCGGACCUCAUAAAGUGCGUCGUAGUCCGGAUUGG
This 523-nucleotide ribosomal RNA is filed under the name uncultured bacterium. Its description in RNAcentral is "bacterial SSU rRNA". It matches the Rfam family "Bacterial small subunit ribosomal RNA", at positions 777 to 1301 of the family's 1533-position model. The record is from RNAcentral.